UACGUAGGGUGCGAGCGUUGUCCGGAAUUACUGGGCGUAAAGAGCUCGUAGGUGGUUUGUCGCGUUGUUCGUGAAAACUCACAGCUUAACUGUGGGCGUGCGGGCGAUACGGGCAGACUGGAGUACUGCAGGGGAGACUGGAAUUCCUGGUGUAGCGGUGGAAUGCGCAGAUAUCAGGAGGAACACCGGUGGCGAAGGCGGGUCUCUGGGCAGUAACUGACGCUGAGGAGCGAAAGCGUGGGUAGCAAACAGG
This 253-nucleotide ribosomal RNA is filed under the name uncultured bacterium. RNAcentral's name for it is "partial 16S ribosomal RNA". It matches the Rfam family "Bacterial small subunit ribosomal RNA", at positions 524 to 776 of the family's 1533-position model. The record is from RNAcentral.